GCCUCAGGGAAAGAGAGCAGAAAUUGGUAGAGCUCGGACUAGAGCAAAGGUUUCCUGAUCCCAAAUCCUGCUGCCCUGGACCUUCUAGAAUGGUUGAAGACAGAGUCUGGGUCAGGAUUACAACUCGUGGAUGAAGAGACUGAGGCUCAGGGAGGCCACUUGUCCUGGGUAGACAGCCAGCAAGGACAGGCCCAUGUCCUCUCCACUGUGUGACCCUAUCACCGGGGAUGUCCCGACCAGGGCUAGCAUUCCACGAGGACAUCUGUAUGGAACCAUCAGACCAUCCCUGGCUGUAAAACACAAUAAGGCCAUGCCGGCAUGUCCCGGUGGAAGUGAGUCCUGUUGAUAUACAUAUACCUAUGGCUUAAUUAAAUU
Molecule: long non-coding RNA, 375 nt
Organism: Rhinolophus ferrumequinum (greater horseshoe bat)
Lineage: Eukaryota; Metazoa; Chordata; Mammalia; Chiroptera; Rhinolophidae
Exons: 3
Source: RefSeq, a predicted model, not a curated record